GAUGAACGCUGGCGGCGUGCCUAAUACAUGCAAGUCGAGCGAACGGACGAGAAGCUUGCUUCUCUGAUGUUAGCGGCGGGCGGGUGAGUAACACGUGGAUAACCUACCUAUAAGACUGGGAUAACUUCGGGAAACCGGAGCUAAUACCGGAUAAUAUUUUGAACCGCAUGGUUCAAAAGUGAAAGACGGUCUUGCUGUCACUUAUAGAUGGAUCCGCGCUGCAUUAGCUAGUUGGUAAGGUAACGGCUUACCAAGGCAACGAUGCAUAGCCGACCUGAGAGGGUGAUCGGCCACACUGGAACUGAGACACGGUCCAGACUCCUACGGGAGGCAGUAGUAGGGAAUCUUCCGCAAUGGGCGAAAGCCUGACGGAGCAACGCCGCGUGAGUGAUGAAGGUCUUCGGAUCGUAAAACUCUGUUAUUAGGGAAGAACAUAUGUGUAAGUAACUGUGCACAUCUUGACGGUACCUAAUCAGAAAGCCACGGCUAACUACGUG
Molecule: ribosomal RNA, 497 nt
Filed under: uncultured bacterium
Lineage: Bacteria
Description: partial 16S ribosomal RNA
Rfam family: Bacterial small subunit ribosomal RNA
Source: RNAcentral